Molecule: ribosomal RNA, 164 nt
Filed under: Arnoglossum ovatum
Lineage: Eukaryota; Viridiplantae; Streptophyta; Magnoliopsida; Asterales; Asteraceae
Description: 5.8S ribosomal RNA
Rfam family: 5.8S ribosomal RNA (bases 1-145)
About the family: 5.8S ribosomal RNA (5.8S rRNA) is a component of the large subunit of the eukaryotic ribosome. It is transcribed by RNA polymerase I as part of the 45S precursor that also contains 18S and 28S rRNA.
Source: RNAcentral
ACGGAUAUCUUGGCUCAUGCAUCGAUGAAGAACGUAGCAAAAUGCGAUACUUGGUGUGAAUUGCAGAAUCCCGUGAACCAUCGAGUUUUUGAACGCAAGUUGCGCCCAAUGUCUUUUGGCUGAGGGCACGUCUGCUUGGGUGUCACAUAUCGUGUUGCUCCUAU